RNAcentral lists this ribosomal RNA (731 nucleotides) under uncultured bacterium. RNAcentral describes it as "bacterial SSU rRNA". It matches the Rfam family "Bacterial small subunit ribosomal RNA", at positions 135 to 882 of the family's 1533-position model. The record is from RNAcentral.
AGAGGGGGACAACAGUUGGAAACGACUGCUAAUACCGCAUGAAGCAUAGGGGUCGCAUGAUUCUUAUGCCAAAGAUUUAUCGCUUCAAGAUGGCCUCGCGUCUGAUUAGCUAGUUGGCGGGGUAACGGCCCACCAAGGCGACGAUCAGUAGCCGGACUGAGAGGUUGAACGGCCACAUUGGGACUGAGAUACGGCCCAGACUCCUACGGGAGGCAGCAGUGGGGAAUAUUGGGCAAUGGGCGCAAGCCUGACCCAGCAACGCCGCGUGAAGGAAGAAGGCUUUCGGGUUGUAAACUUCUUUUAAGAGGGAAGAGCAGAAGACGGUACCUCUAGAAUAAGCCACGGCUAACUACGUGCCAGCAGCCGCGGUAAUACGUAGAUGGCAAGCGUUGUCCGGAUUUACUGGGUGUAAAGGGCGUGCAGCCGGGUCUGCAAGUCAGAUGUGAAAUCCAUGGGCUCAACCCAUGAACUGCAUUUGAAACUGUAGAUCUUGAGUGUCGGAGGGGCAAUCGGAAUUCCUAGUGUAGCGGUGAAAUGCGUAGAUAUUAGGAGGAACACCAGUGGCGAAGGCGGAUUGCUGGACGAUAACUGACGGUGAGGCGCGAAAGUGUGGGGAGCAAACAGGAUUAGAUACCCUGGUAGUCCACACUGUAAACGAUGAAUACUAGGUGUGCGGGGACUGACCCCCUGCGUGCCGCAGUAAACACAAUAAGUAUUCCACCUGGGGAGUA